GCCAGCAGCCAUAUCACCCUGCAACUCACUGCAACUGGCAACCCACUGAAGCUAAGCAGGUGUGAACCUGGUCAGUACCUGGAUGGGAGACCUCCUGGGAAAAACCAAGGUUGCUGCUGGAA
Ribosomal RNA from Lepisosteus oculatus (spotted gar), 122 nucleotides. The record is from Ensembl. Lineage: Eukaryota; Metazoa; Chordata; Actinopteri; Semionotiformes; Lepisosteidae.